UACGGAGGGUGCAAGCGUUAUCCGGAUUCACUGGGUUUAAAGGGUGCGUAGGAGGGCAGGUAAGUCAGUGGUGAAAUCUCCGAGCUUAACUCGGAAACUGCCGUUGAUACUAUCUGUCUUGAAUACCGUGGAGGUAAGCGGAAUAUGUCAUGUAGCGGUGAAAUGCUUAGAUAUGACAUAGAACACCGAUAGCGAAGGCAGCUUGCUACACAAUUAUUGACACUGAGGCUCGAAAGCGUGGGGAUCAAACAGG
RNAcentral lists this ribosomal RNA (253 nucleotides) under uncultured bacterium. RNAcentral describes it as "partial 16S ribosomal RNA". It matches the Rfam family "Bacterial small subunit ribosomal RNA", at positions 524 to 776 of the family's 1533-position model. The record is from RNAcentral.